Molecule: long non-coding RNA, 20362 nt
Filed under: Vitis vinifera (wine grape)
Lineage: Eukaryota; Viridiplantae; Streptophyta; Magnoliopsida; Vitales; Vitaceae
Description: long non-coding RNA (VVIN_LNC001268)
Source: RNAcentral
AACCAGAAGACUAAUCCAGAAAAAUAAAGUUUCCGAUGCCAAGAAACUGAAUGACAUAAAAAGAGACAUGGCCCAGCUAGAAUGGUAUAAGAAGAAAUCGGAAAUGGGUUACUACGAUUGCUUCAAAAACCAGGGGUCUAAAAGGGACCUCAACGUUGAACAGUUUAGGGGAAACCUCACAAUGUACUGGGAAGACAUGGUUGCACAAGUACAGAGGAAGCCCCAGGAGGAAGGAGCAACAUUUCGAACCCGUUGGUUCUAUGCAGGGACAGUUUAUAGGAGAAUGGUUGAACCACUGGACAUUGCUGCCUUCUAUAGAGAGGGUGGAACAGACUACAUAAACAAUGGAAGAUCUCUUCAUUACAAGCUGUUGCAGCAAUGGUAUGAAGAAGAUGUGAAACCCCCCUCUAGAGAUAAGCUUGAUUCCAAGAAGCAAAAGGUGUCUGGUAUCCUAACUGAGGAUUCUUUGUUUUGGGCACAUGUGGAGGAGGCCAUCUUGUCAUGCGAAUUGCUCAAGAGUAAAAACUGUACUCUUGAGCAGGGAAAAUCAUCAUGGGAUAAUCUAGUUAAGUUCGAGGAGUAUGUAAUGGAACAGAUUAACAACUAUGCAGCGUCCCCUGAGAUUUUCUUGCGGGAAAGCAGCUUCAUGAAAUGGUGGGGACUGUAUGAGGGCUACAUAGAUACUUGCAGUAAUUCCCAUGGGUCGCAAUUGAUCAACUUCAUGAAGAAACGUAGCUAUAUGAAGUAUGGUUAGAGGGGCAAUCCAGUUUGUGUGUUGUGUUUAUUGUUUUGUGAGCGUUCAAUGGAUAAAACUAGAAAGAGUGUGACCUUUUUCCCUUUUUCUUGGUUGCUGCCCAUAUUCUCAGCACUAUUUUCUUCCUUCUUUUCCUCUGUUUUUUUUGAUAGGAAAUGAAUAUUAUGAUGUUGCUGGGAUGCACUUNNNNNNNNNNNNNNNNNNNNNNNNNNNNNNNNNNNNNNNNNNNNNNNNNNNNNNNNNNNNNNNNNNNNNNNNNNNNNNNNNNNNNNNNNNNNNNNNNNNNAGGGGAAGAAAAACAUGUUUGUUUAGAUUCAACUCCACCAAAACUUGCAACAACUUCCCAUUGAAAAUUUCCUUUUAAGCUUCUGACUGACAUAAAACUAGAUAUGUUCCAGCUAGAACGGUACAAGAAAGAAAUCAAAAGAUGAGCACAAGUAGAGAGGAAGCCUCACCAGGAAGGGGCAGCUUUGCAAACCCUCUGGCUCUGUACAGGAACGAAUUAUAGAAAGAUGGUUGAACCACUUGACAUUGCUGCCUACCACAGAGAGGGUGGAAGACACUACAUAACCAAUGGAGGAUCUAAACAUUACACGCUAUUGGAGCAAUGAUGCAAUGAAGAGGAGAAGGGGGCUUUGUCUUCUCAUGCAAAUUGCUCUCAGAGCUCAGAACCUACUCCUGAAGGGAAAGAAUCAUCAUGGAGUGAUCUGGUUAAGUUUGAGGAUUUAUUUAUAUAAUUGAACUGAUUGGAAGCUAUGCAGUGUCGGCCCCCGCCCGAGCAGCUUCAUGAAACGGUGGAAAGAGUUGGAAGAAGUCAUAGAUACUUGCUAUAGGAGCUUCAUGAAGUAUGGAGAGGUGUGGCAUAGAUACUUGCAGUCUCUGAAUUUCCCAAAUCCAAUUUCAGAUUGUGUUUUUAGAUUCGUGGAACUUGUUUUCGGGCUUUUUGUUAGGUACAAUUGAGAUGGGCUGAACCGAAAGGCCCGCCAGGAUGAACAAUAUAAUGGGCCUGAAUUUUAAACCAGUGGAUGGGUUUUGUACUGGAUUCAGCUGUCUGAGCCCAAUGAGUAUUGAAUGUGUUUCUGUAUAAAAUUAAAUUUUUAACAUUGAAAUAUAAGGACUUACUUAAAAACACAUUUGGUAACUUUUUUUUUUUUUGGUUAAUAAUAAAUUUUUUUAAAAAAAAUUAAAAAUAUAUAAUUUUUUUAGAAUAAAUUUGAGGCAUGUUUAGGUAUUUUUUGUGGUAAAGAGUUUUGAGAAGCAAUGAGAAAUAUACAGAAUACUUUAAAAACUUUUGCAUAAGUAAGAUACUUACACGAGGCUUUUAUGAAAAAUAAAUCGAUAAAAACAAUUUUUAUAUUUGAAUUUCAAAACAUAAAACAACUUAGAACUGUUUUUAAAAACUGUUCUUAAAAAUAGUUUUCUAUUAACUCACAUUCAAGGAUGCUUUUAUCUUUUAUUUUUCUAUGUUUCAUCCUUGCAUAAAUGGAGUACAAAGUCGUAAGUUAAUCUAAUUAACAAAUAUAGAUAAUCAUCCGAUAAAUGAGUAAAUUAGGUGAUGAUCUCUUUAUAUAUGCAAGUAAUGGAAUGAAUGUGAUAAAAAAAUAAAAUAAAAAAGUAAGGGGAGAAAUGUUGUAAAUAAAAUGUUUUUAUUGUGGUUCAACGACCUAUCCACUUCCACACCUUGACAUAUUUCACAAUUUUAAAAGUUUUUUUAAUCAUGAUUCUCCUUAUUGUUCUUUAAGUCUGGAUUUCUUAAGUUUCAAUAGACUUUUACAAUCACUAAGAUGACGUUUGUUUUUUCACUUAAUUCUAAAUAUAAGUUAAAACUAAAUAAUAUUUAAUAAUAUCAAGUAUUAGGUUGUUUUUUUUAUAACAUUUUAUUUCUAUAUAAUAUUAAAAAGUAAAGAAAAAUCAGUAUGUUUUUUUUUUAUUUAAAAAAAGUCAAAUAUUUUGACUUUUUUUUAAGCUAAAAAUUUAUAAUAAAAAAUAAAAAAUAAACAAACAAACAAACAACUUGAAGUGUAAAAACAGAUUGUUUUCAAUAAAAAUUUUAAAAAAUAAACACCUUAUAAAUAAAAUUCCUUAACCACUCGUACAAUAGCUUCUUUAAGCACAAAAUGUAUUGAAGCGCUCACAAUGAAAAGAUAAACAAGUUUGGAUUUAAUAUAAUUUUGGGUUAUCUAAUUAAAAAGGUGUAGACCCCCGGAGGCAGACAGUUUUUUUAGUUAUUAUUAUUAUUUGUUUAUUUUUAAUUUUUCCUACCUUUUUCUUCCCAAGCCGCUCGACAUGAUGGGACUAAAGUGGGCUGGUUUUUGGGGCAGAGAGGGGACUCAAGUGGGCGUUUUUUUUUUUUUUUGGGCGGCAGAUGGGAUGGUGUACGGGGGAUGGCUUGUGGAGGAAGACUCAAAACAGGGGAAGGAAGCGAAAGAAAGGCAGGAAAAAAAGUGUUGGAGGACGGGGGGGAUACCUUGCUCAAGGAGAAAACUUUCAGGUAAAAUUUUCUGUGAACUCCAUGUUUCUUCGUUAUGACAUUAUUGUGCUCACUUCUUUUGUUGAUUCCAGGAUGUGAUUUGUUGGUCGGUUUGGAUGUCAUGGAUUAUUGGUUUAUUUUUGCUGAAUUUAUCCGUGUGCGGAGGUGCUCUGUUUGACUCUAUUCUGGUUUCCCUAACUCCUUCCAUAAGCACCUGAAUGUAUGAAUUCAUCCCUGAGCCCGAUUAUAUAAAAAUCAUGCUUUGUUCCCUGUGGUUUCUUCCCUCUGUUUGUUGCUCUAUUCCUUGUUGGUUGUGGGAAUGAGGUCAUCGAUGGCCAGGUUAUCGAAACUGGGGAAGUGACUUCGUGAACGGAUCACCUUCUAUGCACCCAUCUCAUCUUUCUCAUUCACUCAUCACGGCUACACUUCCAUGAUUACACCAUCCUCAGUCAAAUACAUAUCUCCAUACCCAUUUUUCACCUUUCCCGUACCUUCCUCACCUAUCCAUCACACCCAUCGUCAUAUCUAGUUCAUCACUAACCCAUUUUCCUCUCGCCAGCCGUGGUUAUGCUUCGUCCAUCUCAUGCAUACGAUCCCUCACUACUAUUCCUAUAUUCUCAUCCUUCCAAACUCCUCAACACAACACCUAACCCUCAUACCUGCACCCCGCCAUGCCCGCGCCUAGCUCACCCCCAUAGGAACCUCAAAGCCGUUCGCCUACUUGCAUGGGAGCCAUGCAUGCCGCCCCUCCCCGCGUCUUCCUGCACCGGCUAUGUGCGCGCCUGCACCAGCCACCAAUGGCGGCAGCGCCUUCUGGACGUCGCCAGGCCGCUGCCACCUGCUCCGGCAACGCGCGCGCCUGCACCAGCAGCCAUGGCGGCGGCACCUUCUGAACGUCACCAGACCGCCGCCACGGCUCCCCUCUUCCCCGCGCCGCCGCUGCUCCUCUUUUCCCCGCGCCGCCAUGGCUCUCCUCUUCAUCGUGCCGCCGGUGGAGUCUUCGCGGGUGGAGAGGCAAUUGGUGAAGAGAAGCUUUGCCCAUGAUGGUUUUUGGGCUUGGGUUUGAACUGGGAACCCAGGCCCAAGCCUAUGAAGAGAAGCCCAGGUUUAUGAAGGCUUUAAUUGCCUUGGGCUUGCCCAUUAAUAUCAUAUGGAUUGGGCUUGAUGAGGAUGGGGCUUAUUGGUGGAUUUGGGCUUGACUAGGUUUGGGCUUUAUUAGGGUUGCUGAUGGACUGGGUUUGGGCUCUAUUAUUAUUAUUAAUUCAACAUUUAAAAUACUAUUAUUAUCAUUGUUAUUAAUCAAACUUUUAAAAAUCUUAUUAUUACUAUUAUUAUUAUUACGUUUAUCAUUAUUAUUAUUUCUAUUCAACAUUUAAAAUAUUAUUAUCAUUAUUAUUAUUAAUUCAACAUUUAAAAUAUUAUUAUUAUCACUAUCAUUAAUCCAAACUUUCAAAACCCUAUAAUUAUUAUUACUAACCCAAAUUUCAAAAUCUAUUUAUUUAUUAUUAUUUAUUAUUAUCAUUAAUCCAAAUUUCAAAAUCUAUUUAUUAUUGUUAUCCUUAUCAUUAAACCCAACCUCCAAAAUCUCAUCAUUAUCAUUAUUAUUAAUUCAAACUUUCAACACCUAUUUAUUAUUAUUUAUUAUUAUCAUCAGUCCAAACCUCCAAGAUCUCAUCAUUAUUAUUAUAAUUAACUCAACUUUCAAAAUUUAUUUAUUAUUAUUAUCAUCAUUAAUCCAAGCUUUCAAAAAUCUCAUCAUUAUUGUUAUUAUUACCUCAACUUUCAAAAUCUUAUUUUUAUUAUUAUCAUUGAUUAAAACUUUCAAAACCUUAUUAUUAUUAUUAAUUCAAACUUUCUAACUUCCAAUUUCCAAGCCCAAUUUAUAAAAAUUCAACCUUCAAAUGAUACUCCAAAAUUCCGAUCUUUAAAACUCAAUUUCGAUUUCCGAAAAUUCUCAUACUCACUUUAAUCUAUUUAAUUAUUGUUAUUUUGAUUAUUUAUUUCAAAACCCCAUUUCAAAUCAAAUUCUCUAAAACUUCUGAUUCUCGAAUUAAAUUCCUAAUCCCAAAAAUUCUCAUGUUCGCACUAAAUUAUUUGAUCAUUGAUAUUUUAUUUAUUUAUUUAUUUCAAAACUCCAUUUUAAAUCAAAUUCUCUAAAACUUCUGAUUUCCGAAUUAAACUCCUAAUCCCAAAAAUUCUCAUGUUCUCAUUAAUUUAUUUAAUCAUUAGUAUUUUAUCUCCAUUUUAAAUCAACUCUUUAAAACUUCAGAUUUACAAAUUAAAUUCCUAAUCUUGAAAAUUCCCAUAUUCACAUUAAUUUAAUCACUAAUAGUUUGUUUAUUUAUCUUAAAAUUCUAUUUUAAACAAUUCUUUAAACUUUCUAACUUCUAAAUCUAAUUUCCAAUUUCAAAAAUUCCAGCAUUCCAUUCAUUUAUUUAAUCAUUAUUUUCGUCCUUAUUAUUAUUAGUCCAUUUAUUUACUUCAAAAUUUCAUUUUUAAACAUUUUUUUGAAUCCCAAUUUUCGAACUUAAUUUCCAAUUUCUAAAAUUCUAAUUUCCUUCAAGUUUGACAUCCCAAAAUUCCAACUCUUAAAUUUAAUUCUCAAGACUCCAAUCUUCAAAUAAUUUUCGAGACUCCAAUUUCCAAAUAAAUUUCAAAAAUUCAAUUUUCUCUCUAACAGUUUUAAUUCUCUUCGGGUUUCAAAUAAUCUUCGAUUUCUCUUGAUUUUAUAUAAACAUGAAUGCUAUUUUCAUAAUUCCAGAAUAAUGGGAUUUGUGAUAUUAAUUCCUGCAAAAAUGAAUGGGCUUUGGUGGGGGCCCAACAUACGUGCUUUCCUCAUGAUUGAUUGAUUGUUUGAUUGAUUUAAUUGCCAUGCGUGCUUGAUUUUAUUCUGCUCUAUGGCAUGCCCGAAAUUAUCCUUUAAUUGUGCACUAACCUCACUUUUUGAUAAGCGCAUUGUGGCUCGUCACCCAGGUACGUAUCUAUCCCCAUUCUGAUAUUUCCAUAUACAUGUUUUGAUUCUCCUAUGUGCAUGAUAGUUCCGGGUAUUCAUUGUUUUUCCUCAUCAAUUGCCAUGAUUGCUUCAUUUUAUUAGUAGAGACCCAUUUAGGGACUUAGAGGGGUGCUACGGUUCAUACCGUACCUUCCUGAUAAGUAACCUGACCCUCGGACCCGAUCCGGUUUUUCACAGACCACCUUUUCCAAAGUAAGGAGUCACACUUAGGGUUUUUCUUUCUUAUUUUGUUUACCCUUUUAAAAAUAAAACAAAAAUAAGUGGCGACUCCAAGUCAUUUUCUUAAACAAUAAAAAAUCAAAUUUUCAAAUAAAAAUCGAGUCCGCCAUUGAGUGGGAAACGCAUGAGCCGAAAUGCGGGGUCCACAAAAGGUCAUUGAAAACCCAAUUUUAGAAAUAUAACCCUUCAUCAUUUUUUUUAUCUCAUGUUAACAAAAAUGCUCUUAUUAUUUUCUUAUAAAAAUAAUCAUUUCUUUUAAAACACACUAUAAAUACUCCAAAUAGUCAGGGGCUUUUAUGUAUAAAAAAAUGAAUUACUCUUUAAAUAAAAAUAUUGGAGGGAAUAAAUUAACAAAUAUGAGGUAUUUCAUCCCUUUUAUCUAAUUAUUUCUAUAAUUUUAAGAGUUUAAGAAGGCUAGACAAAGACUAAUUAUUAGGCACAUUUUGUAAAAACACUAGUUAUUAGACACAUUUUUCGCUCAAUCAAUCAAUCACGGAGUUGACUAGACACUAAUUAUUGGACUUUUUUUUUUUUUUUUUUAUAAUAAGUGAAAGACAAGAAUACAAUCGACUACUUUGGUCAAUUAAACAAUCAUUCAGUUGACUAUAAACUAAUCUUUAGAUUUUUUUUUUUAUAAUAAUUGGAAGACAUGAAUACAAUCGAUUACUUUGAUUAAUUAAUCAAUUAUUCAAGAAAUUUAGAAAAAUAUUGGAUAAAAGAUAUAUAUAACGGAUUAUUUCAAAUUGAAACUUAAGAUUAUAAAUCUUACUUUUAAUGUUGAAAAAUCAUGUAAAACACAAGUUUUUAUCUUUGAAGUAAUCAAUUUCAUUUUUCACAAAAAAUCAUUAAUAAUGCAUGAAUGAAUUCUUUUAAAAAAUCUUAUAAAAAAUGUGAUUAUUUUUCAUUCCCAAAUACUUAGGUUCUAAAGAUCAAUUUUAAAGCAUACUUAUCCUUACUAUGCCUUACAAGAAAAUCUAUUCUAUACAUAUGAUCUUGUAAAAAAAUGUAAAUAAAAAAAUAAAAUAAAAUAAAAAGAAAAAAAAAAGCCUCUCUUGUUUUCCUCUUUUGACUGGAUAUCAUUACCAUACCUAAAAUUAAAUAUUUAAUUAAAAUAUUAUUUUACUAUCAUCAAAAUUUAGAUUUAACCAAACUUUAGGCUAGUAUGUUGAUACGAUAAGUUAAUUUUCUAUCUUAAAGUUUUAAAAACUUUUGAAAUUAAACAUUUUCUUACACAUUUAUUUUUAAAGUUUUUUAGCAUAAAAUUUAAAAUUGAAGCUUUUAAGGGAAAACCUCAUAAUAUAAUAUACUAGAAAGACAUGGUCAAACAAAUAGAGACGAAGCCUCAAAAGGAAGGGGCAAUGGUUGAACCACUUGACAUUGUUGCCUACUACUAAGAUGGUGUAAGAAACAACAUAACCAAUGGAACAUAUGCACAUUAAACAUUGUACAAUUAUUAUAAAUGUCUUAUACAUUAUGUGUGAAAAUACGAAAUAAAUAAAUAAAAUUAUAUUCAACAUUUAUAUUUGUAUACAAACAAUAUUUUCGAUAGUUUGAUAUAAAAAAACAAAUAAAAAAAUGAAGAAAAGCAUAUAAAUAUAUUUUCAAUGGACAAACUUAUUCAAUUAGUAUAAAUAUCUUGUAUAUUUAAUACAAAUACCUUAUACUUUGUGAAAAUGUAAAAAUAUAGUAUUUGAUAUUUAUAAAUGUGGGUAAGUAAUUUUUCUAAUGGUUUGAUUUAAAAAAAAAAUAAUGAGAAUCAAGAAAUACAUGCAAAUAAAUUAGUGUGAAUGAUAAAGGAUGUUUUUUUACCAUAAAUUUUCAUGGACUUAGCAUCAAUUAUGCAUCUAUAGAUGUUAACCCAAUUAGCAUAAUGUGAAAACCCUUACACACAAUAUAUAAACCCUAUACUUGAAUUAGGAAGGACAAAAAAAAAAUAGUUAGAGCAUUUGGUACCAUCAAUGAUGACUUCACCUAAAGAAAAGUUAAUGAACAUUAUGUUCUCAAUGGAAGAGCAACCCUAGUAGGACAUAUGGAGUAAAUUGAUGCUCUUCUUUCGACAACGAAGUAGCUAAGUCAUGAAAAUGGGGUUUUGCUAACAACAUUAAAUGCAAGAAUUCCCCAAUAUACUGCAAUUCAUAUUCAAUUCAUAGACUUUCAACUAACUACUCUCAAUAACGAGCAAACCCAAGUCAAUACAUAAGAUUGAUUAUUACUUAUGAUAAUUGAAACCAUAAUUAAUAAGACAUAUAUAUAUAUAUAUAUAUAUAUAUAUAUAUAUAUAUAUAUAUAUAUAUAUAUAUAUAUAUAUAUAUAUAUAUAUAUAUAUAUAAAAAAAAUAGAGACAAUUGUGUUUUGGAUCCAGGUGGAUCAAAAAAUAAGGUUUGGUUUAUAGAACUUACAUAAUUGAUGGAAAUGAUAUAAGUUAUCAAAAGACCAAAAUACUCAUUGACCUUUCACGUAAGUUUUUUUGGUCUUUAUUGUACCACUAUUCAUGCAACCAUAAUAAUUUUAUUUUAACUAUUUGGAUUUUUCAUUGUUUUUUAAAACUUUUUUUUUUAUAAAUAAUUGAAAAUCAACAUUAUUUUCUAUUUUAAAUUAUAAAUAAAGAAAAAUUACGUUCAAAAACUAUUUUAAAAAAUACUUUCUAAAAAAAUGGUAAUAUGAUUUAUAUUUUUUACAUUUUCUAUUAGAAAAAAAUAUUUAAUUAAAAAUGAAAAAUAAUUUUUAAAAAUAAAAAUUGAAAACCUUGUUUAGUACUAUUUUUUUAUAUGAAAAUAAUAAAAAUAAUUAAAUUUCAUUAAUUGAUUAUCCAUUAAAUUUUAUAUGAAAAUUUUUUAUAAGAGUAAAAAGAUUCAAUAUCUUUAAAAAAAGAAAAAAAAAACAAAACAAAACAAUAAGUUAGAAAUGAGUAAUACUUAAUUGGGAAUAGAAAAGGGGAAAAAAUUGAAAUUUACACUCAUUAUAUGCCUAUGUAGGGAUUAAAGGUAUUUUAGGGAUUAAUGAAGGAUAAUAUCCUUUAACUUAAUUUUUAUAAUUUAUUUGGGUCUUGACCUUAAAUGUGCAUGAUAUAUGGAUCUUUGGUCAAUUUUUGGGCCCAUUCGGGCCCAAAAUACAAUUCUCCCUACAAAAAUAUUUAUUAAAAUAAAUUAAUUAAUAAAAGCCAUUUAAAGAGUUUCAUAACUUAGUAUCGAAGCUAUUGUAAGAAAAAAGUAUUAUAUAAUGUAGGGUUUAGGUUCAAAGUCUACCUAAGAUUAAAUUUAAGUCUCGAGACAAAUUCACAUUCAAAACUAGGUUUUUAAGUUUGAAAAAUAGAUCCCUUAAACAAAUUAAAUGGUAAAAAAUAAUUACAAAGAAAAUUUCUCUAGCUGGUUUCUUCAUCUUGAAAACUAACGGAAACAUAUAUUAAUAUUUGGUAUGAAAAUUCGUAACCUUAGAAACACAGCUUUGAGUCUUGCUGAGAAAAACAAAGCUUAUUUGCUCGUAGACCAUCGUAGUGGUCGUCAUACCGUGUGAGGACCGGGGAAGCAUCUUUGCUCGUAGACCGGCUUUUGUAGUCUUUCUUUAACAAUUACAAGUUGUCAGGAUUCCCUUCAUCCUCCCAAAUAAUAUUGUUUUUGGUCUUGUUCUGGUUGCAUCUCCGUGGAAGGAAAGAAGAUGAAUCAAGUUCCUUUGUAAGUAUCAAUGUCUCUGAUUCAUUUUUUGGUUCCUAGAAUCGAAUCCUCGCUCUGUUCUUGCUUAAUUUCUCCUUUUUCUGUUGGGUCUUUCACUGCAGGUUUAGCUCUGCACGGGAACUGGCAAAUUUGGUGCUGAGCUCCAAUCUAAUCGACUGUGCUUUCACCAAAAUUCUUGAACUUAAGAGAGGCCAAACAGCCUUGCCUGUUCAAUACAGACUUUAUCAACUGUCUUCCAAGUGCACAAUUGUAGCUUUUGUCUCUUCACCUGACUGCACUCAAUACCCUCUUCCUGGACAAGGAGAUUUAGAUCGGUCUCCUCUCUUUGACUUCCUCCGUACCGAAGAAUACCCGUCCGUCUCCAUUAACAGAGCAGCAUUAGCCCUCUAUACCCCUCUCCAUGAUCAUCUCUCUGGACUAACAGAUGAGGUCAAAAUCUGAUACUUGUUUGAAUUUUCGUUUCCUUUUCGUUAACAAUUGUGAGACACGAAACAGCUUGACCAUGAGAUCUCCCUCAUGGAGUCGAACUACCUGAAGGAUAAGACGUCACACAUAUCCAUUUUCAUGGCAUCGUCACAUGACCCAUUGAUCGGUUGUGAUUCAACUCUUAAUAGGAACACAGUAGAACUGGUGUUGGUAUAUCUGUCUUUAGAUAAGCUUGCAUAUAUCUUGUCACUGAAAAAGGAAUGUUCAGAAGUGAGAUUAGUGGCAUUAUUCUGACAUGGAUUUCAUAUGGUUACUUGUUUUGCAGUUGACUCAGAUUGAAGGUCAGUUAAUCAUCACUGGGCACUCCCUGGGAGGAUCCGUUGCUUCUCUCUUCACCUUACGCCUGCUAGAUGGCAAUUUAUUAAAACCCAAAUGCCGCCCCUUUUGUAUCACCUUUGGUUCACCCCUCAUAGGCGACUUUGGCCUCCAACACUCCAUAUGGAAUUCUUUCUUCCUGCAUGUAGUGUCUAACCAAGACCCAGUCCCCGGACUCUUCCUCCCAUCCGGCAGAUCUCCGCCCACAUCCUCCCAUUCACAAACUACCGGUUACAAGCCCUUUGGGACAUAUCUCUUGUGCUCUGAACUUGGUUGUGCUUGUUUUGACAACCCUGAUUUAAUUUUGGGAUUGCUUAAAGUCAUAUCAUCAGAGGUUGCCGGAGGAUUGCAGGAUGUUGACUAUGGGGAGAUUUUAAGAAACCUCAAGGAGAGGGCAAUCUGCAAGGGACUGCCGCAGGUGGGUGAACGGUUUGCAGAUCCAUUUUCAGCUGGGAUCAUCAUGGAACUUGAGACAAUUGGAUUUAAUCAAACAAAGGUAAACAGCUUUCUCCCAUCUAAUGAUGUUAUGAAACAUGGUUUACACUACACCAAAUACUGCAAUAACUGCCCUAUUCAGAUUUAUCUUCUUGUUCUUUGGGAUCUUCCAUAACUAGUCUCAUUUUUAAAAUUCAUGGCAGUUGCUGCAGCAUAACAUUGAUAUCAACGCUAUGAUAAGAACAAUGGAAGCGGAAACCAGAAGCCUAAUCCAGAAAAAUAAAGCUUCCGAUGCCAAGAAACUGAAUGACAUAAAAAGAGACAUGGCCCAUCUAGAAUGGUAUAAGAAGAAAUCGGAAAUGGGUUACUACGAUUGCUUCAAAAAUCAGGGGUCUAAAAGGGACAUCAACGUUGAACAAUUUAGGGGAAACCUCACAAUGUACUGGGAAGACAUGGUUGCACAAGUACAGAGGAAGCCCCAGAAGGAAGGAGCAACAUUUCGAACCCGUUGGUUCUAUGCAGGGACAGUUUAUAGGAGAAUGGUUGAACCACUGGACAUUGCUGCCUUCUACAGAGAGGGUGGAACAGACUACAUAAACAAUGGAAGAUCUCUUCAUUACAAGCUGUUGCAGCAAUGGUAUGAAGAAGAUGUGAAACCCCCCUCUAGAGAUAAGCUUGAUUCCAAGAAGCAAAAGGUGUCUGGUAUCCUAACUGAGGAUUCUUUGUUUUGGGCACAUGUGGAGGAGGCCAUCUUGUCAUGCGAAUUGCUCAAGAGUCAAAACUGUACUCUUGAGCAGGGAAAAUCAUCAUGGGAUAAUCUGGUUAAGUUCGAGGAGUAUGUAAUGGAACAUAUUAACAACUAUGCAGCGUCCCCUGAGAUUUUCUCGAGGGAAAGCAGCUUCAUGAAAUGGUGGGGACUGUAUGAGGGCUACAUAGAUACUUGCAGUAAUUCCCAUGGGUCGCCAUUGAUCAACUUCAUGAAGAAACGUAGCUAUAUGAAGUAUGGUUAGAGGGGCAAUCCAGUUUGUGUGUUGUGUUUGUUGUUUUGUGAGCGUUCAAUGGAUAAAACUAGAAAGAGUGACCUUUUUCCCUUUUUCUUGGUUGCUGCCCAUAUUCUCAGCACUAUUUUCUUCCUUCUUUUCCUCUGUUUUUUUGUUAAGAAAUGAAUAUUAUGAUGUUGCUGGGAUGCACUUUCAUUGUUGUUCUAUUACAUUGUGUUUUAUUUAUAUCCUAAACAAAUAAAUCAAAACAAGAAAAUCAAAUAAGACUUAAAGAGUCUUUUCCUUCAAAAAAAAAAAUGGGGAAAAAGAAAAACAUUUUUGUUUAGAUUCAACUCCACCAAAACUUGCAACAACUUCCCAUUGAAAAAUUCCUUUUAAGCUUCUGAAUGAUAUAAAACCAGAUAUGUUCCAGCUAGAAUGGUACAAGAAAGAAAUCAAAAGAUGAGUACAGUGGGUUAUUAUGACAGCUUUAGAAACCUGGGGUGUAAAAGAGACAUUAAAAUGGAACCGAUGGGAAGACAUGGUAGAACACGUAGAGAGGAAGCCUCACCAGGAAGGGGCAGCUUUGCAAACCCUCUGGCUCUGUACAGGAACGAAUUAUAGAAAGAUGGUUGAACCACUUGACAUUGUUCCCUACCACAGAGAGGGUGGAAGACACUACAUAACAUUACACGCUAUUGGAGCAAUGAUGCAAUGAAGAGGAGAAGGGGGCUUUGUCUUCUCAUGCAAAUUGCUCUCAGAGCUCAGAACCUACUCCUGAAGGGAAAGAAUCAUCAUUGAGUGAUCUGGUUAAGUUUGAGGAUUUAUUUAUAUAAUUGAACUGAUUGGAAGCUAUGCAGUGUCGGCCCCCGCCCGAGCAGCUUCAUGAAACGGUGGAAAGAGUUGGAAGAAGUCAUAGAUACUUGCUAUAGGAGCUUCAUGAAGUAUGGAGAGGUGUGGCAUAGAUACUUGCAGUCUCUGAAUUUCCCAAAUCCAAUUUCAGAUUGUGUAUUUAGAUUCGUGGAACUUGUUUUCUUGCUUUUUGUUAGGUACAAUUGAGAUGGGCUGAACCGAAAGGCCCGCCAGGAUGAACAAUAUAAUGGGCCUGAAUUUUAAACCAGCGGAUGGGCUUUGUACUGGAUUCAGCUGUCUGAGCCCAAUGAGUAUUGAAUGUAUUUCUGUAUAAAAUUAAAUUUUUAACAUUGAAAUAUAAGGACUUACUUAAAAACACAUUUGGUAACUUUUUUUUUUUUAUGGUUAAUAAUAGAUUUAAAAAAAAAUUAAAAAUAUAUAAUUUUUUAGGAUAAAUUUGAGGCAUGUUUAGGUAUUUUUCGUGGUAAAGAGUUUUGAGAAGCAAUGGGAAAUAUACAGAAUACUUUAAAAACUUUUGCAUAAGUAAGAUACUUACACGAGGCUUUCAUGAAAAAUAAAUUGAUAAAAACAAUUCUCAUAUUUAAAUUUCGAAACAUAAAACAACUCAGAACUGUUUUUAAAAAUUGUUCUUAAAAAUAGUUUUCUAUUAAGUCACAUUCAAGGAUGCUUUUAUCUUUUAUUUUUCUAUGUUUCAUCCUUGCAUAAAUGGAGUACAAAGACAUAAGUUAAUCUAAUUAACAAAUAUAGAUAAUCAUCCGAUAAAAGAGUAAAUUAGGUGAUGAUCUCUUUAUAUAUGCAAGUAAUGGAAUGAAUGUGAUGAAAAAUAAAAUAAAAAAGUAAGGGGAGAAAUGUUGUAAAUAAAGUGUUUUUAUUGUAGUUCAACGACCUAUCCACUUCCGCACCUUGACAUAUUUCACAAUUUUAAAAGUUUUCUUAAUCAUGAUUCUCUUUAUUAUUCUUUAAGUCCGGAUUUCUUAUGUUUCAAUAGACUUUUACAAUCACUAAGAUAGUGUUUGUUUUUUCACUUAAUUCUAAAUAUAACUUAAAACUAAAUAAUAUUUAAUAAUAUCAGGAUUAGGUUGUUUUUUUUAUAACAUUUUAUUUCUAUAUAAUAUUAAAAAGUAAAGAAAAAUCAAUAUAUUAUUUUUUUCAUUUAAAAAAAGUCAAAUAUUUUGACUUUUUUUUAAGCUAAAAAUUUAUAAUAAAAAAUAAAAAACAAACAAACAAACAAACAACUUAAAGUGUAAAAAUAGAUUGUUUUCAAUAAAAAUUUAAAAAAAAACAAACACCUUCUAAAUAAAAUUCCUUAACCACUCGUUCAAUAGCUCCUUUAAGCACAAAAUGUAUUGAAGUGCUCACAAUGAAAAGAUAAACAAGUUUUGAUUCAAUAUAAUUUUGGGUUAUCUAAUUAAAAGGGUCAUUGAAAACCCAAUUUUAGAAAUAUAACCCUUCAUCAUUUUUUUAUCUCGUGUUAACAAAAAUGCUCUUAUUAUUUUCUUAUAAAAAUAAUCAUUUCUUUUAAAACACACUAUAAAUACUCCAAAUAGCCAAGGGCUUUUAUGUAAAAAAAAAUGAAUUACUCUUCAAAUAAAAAUAUUGGAGGGAAUAAAUUCACAAAUAUGAGGUAUUUCAUCCCUUUUAAAUAAUUAUUUCUAUAAUUUUAAGAGUUUAAGAAGGCUAGACAAAGACUAAUUAUUAGGCACAUUUUGUAAAAACACUAGUUAUUAGACACAUUUUUUGCUCAAUCAAGCAAUCACACAGUUGACUAAACACUAAUUAUUGGACUUUUUUUUUUUAUAAUAAGUGGAAGACAAGAAUACAAUCGACUACUUUGGUCAAUUAAGCAAUCAUUCAGUUGACUAUAAACUAGUCUUUAGACAUUUUUUUUUAUAAUAAUUGGAAGACAUGAAUACAAUCGAUUACUUUGGUCAAUUAAUCAAUUAUUCAAGAAAUUUAGAAAAAUAUUGGAUAAAAGAUAUAUAUAACGGAUUAUUUCAAAUUGAAACUUAAGAUCAUAAAUCUUACUUUUAAUGUUGAAAAAUCAUGUAAAACACAAGUUUUUAUCUUUGAAGUAAUCAAUUUCAUUUUUCACAAAAAAUCAUUAAUAAUACAUGAAUGAAUUCUUUUAAAAAAAUCUUAUAAAAAAUGUGAUUAUUUUUCAUUCCCAAAUAUUUAGGUUCUAAAGGUCAAUUUUAAAGCAUACUUAUCCUUACUAUGCCUUACAAGAAAAUCUAUUCUAUACAUAUGAUCUUGUAAAAAACUGUAAAUAAAAAAGAAAAAAAGAAAAAAAACCUCUCUUGUUUUCCUCUUUUGAUUGGAUAUCAUUAUCAUACUUAAAAUUAAAUAUUUAAUCAAAAUAUUAUUUUACUAUCAUCAAAAUUUAGAUUUAACCAAACUUUAGGCUAGUAUGUUGAUACGACAAGUUAAUUUUCUAUCUUAAAGUUUUAAAAACUUUUGAAAUUAAACAUUUUCUUACACAUUUAUUUUUAAAGUUUUUAGCAUAAAAUUUAAAAUUGAAGCUUUUAAAGGAAAACCUCAUAAUAUAAUAUACUAGAAAGACAUGGUCAAACAAAUAGAGACGAAGCCUCAAAAGGAAGGGGCAAUGGUUGAACCACUUGACAUUGUUGCCUACUACUAAGAUGGUGUAAGAAACAACAUAACCAAUGGAACAUAUGCACAUUAAACAUUGUACAAUUAUUAUAAAUGUCUUAUACAUUAUGUGUGAAAAUACCAAAAAAAAAGAAAAAUUAUAUUCAACAUUUACAUUUGUAUACAAACAAUGUUUUCGACAAUUUGAUAUAAAAAACAAAUAAAAAAAAUAAAGAAAAACAUACAAAUAUAUUUACAAUGGACAAACUUAUUCAAUUAGUAUAAAUAUCUUGUAUAUUUAAUACAAAUACCUUAUACUUUGUGAAAAUGUAAAAAUAUAGUAUUUAAUAUUUAUACAUGUGGGUAAGUAAUUUUUCUAAUGGUUUGAUUUAAAAAACAAAUAAUGAGAAUCAAGAAAAACAUGCAAAUAAAUUAGUGUGAAUGAUAAAGGGUGUUUUUUACCAUAAAUUUUCAUGGACUUAGCAUCAAUUAUGCAUCUAUAGAUGUUAACCCAAUUAGCAUAAUGUGAAAACCCUUGCACACAAUAUAUAAACCCUAUACUUGAAUUAGGAAGGACAAAAAAAAAAUAGUUAGAGCAAUUGGUACCAUCAAUGAUGACUUCACCUAAAGAAAGGUUAAUGAACAUUAUGUUCUCAACGGAGAGCAACUCUGGUAGAACAUAUGGAGUAAAUCAAUGCCCUUCUUUUAACGAUGAAGUAGCUAAGUCAUGAAAACAAGGUUUUGCUAACAACAUUAAAGGCAAGAAUUCCCCCAAUAUACUCCAAUUCAUAUUCAAUUCACAGACCUUCAACUAACUACUCUCAGUAACGAGCAAACCCAAGUCAAUACAUAAGAUUGAUUAUUACUUAUGAUAAUUGAAACCCUAAUUAAAUAAAUAAGGACACAAAUAUAUAUAUAUAUAUAUAGGGACAGUUGUGUUUUGGACCUAGGUGAACCCAAAAAUUAAGGUUUGGUUUAUAUAACUUACAUAAUUGAUGAAAAUGAUAUAAGAUAUCAAAAUAUCAAAAUACUCAUUGACCUUUCACAUAAGCUUUUUUGGUAUUUAUUGCACUACUAUUCAUUCAACCAUAAUAAUUCUAUUUUAACUAUUUGGAUUUUUCAUUGUUUUUUAAAACUUUUUAUUUAUAAAUAAUUGAAAAUCAACAUUAUUUUCUAUUUUAAAUUAUAAAUAAAGAAAAAUUACGUUCGAAAACUAUUUUAAAAAAUACUUUCUAAAAAAAAUGGUAAUAUGAUUUAUAUUUUUUAUAUUUUCUUUUAGAAAAAAAUAUUUAAUUAAAAAAUGAAAAAUAUUUUUAAAAAUAAAAAUUGGAAACCUUGUUUAGUACUAUUUUUUUUAUAUAAAAAUAAUAAAAAUAAUUAAAUUUCAUUUAUUGAUUAUCCAUUAAAUUUUAUAUGAAAAUUUUGUAUAAGAGUAAAAAGAUUCAAUAUCUUUAAAAAAAGAAAAAAAAAACAAAACAAAAAGUUAGAAAUGAGUAAUACUUAAUUGGGAAUAGAAAAUGGGAAAAAUUUUGAAAUUUACACUCACUAUAUGUCUACGUAGGGAUUAAGGGUAUUUUAGGGAUUAAUGAAGGAUAAUAUCUUUUAACUUAAUUUUUACAUUUUAUUUGGGUCUUGGGAUUAAAUGUACAUUAUAUAUGGAUCUUUGGUUAAUUUUUGGACCCAUCCGGACCCAAAACACAAUUCUCCAUAAAAAAAUAUUUAUUAAAAUAAAUAAAUUAAUAAAAACCAUUUAGAGAGUUUCAUAACUUAGGUGGUGUUUGUUUUUUUGGCUUUUUGGUGAAAACCAUUUAGUUUUAGAAUUUAGGUUGUUUGUUUUUUUACUUUUUCAUGACUUAUUAUAAACUUUUUACAAAAUAGAAAAAGCCAAAAUAUAUGACUUUUUCUAAAUAGAAAAAUAACACAAUGGUUUUUUUUACUUUUUAAUACUUAAUAGAAAUAAAAUAUUAUAAAAACAAACAACCUAAUAUUUAAUACUAUUAAGUAUUAAAGUUCUAUUUAGAAUUAAGUAAAAAAACAAACACCACCUAAGUGUCGAAGCUAUUGUAAGAAAAAAGUAUUAUAUAAUGUAGGGUUUAGGUUCAAAGUCUACCUAAGAUUAAAUUUAAGUCUUAAGACAAAUUCACAUUCAAAACUAGGUUUUUAAGUUAGAAAAAUAGACCCCUUAAACCAAUUAAAUGGUAAAAAAAAAUUACAAAGAAAAUUUCUCUAGCUGGUUUCUUCAUCUUGAAAACUAACGGAAACAUAUAUCAAUAUUUGGUAUGAAAAUUCGUAACCUUAGAAACACAGCUUUGAGUCUUGCUGAGAAAAACAAAGCUUAUUUGCUCGUAGACCAUCGUAGUGGUCGUCAUACCGUGUGAGGACCGGGGAAGCAUCUUUGCUCGUAGACCGGCUUUUGUAGUCUUUCUUUAACAAUUGCAAGUUGUCAGGAUUCCCUUCAUCCUCCUAUAUAAUAUUGUUUUUGGUCUUGUUCUGGUUGUAUCUCCGUGGAAGGAAGGAAGAUGAAUCAAGUUCCUUUGUAUGUAUCAAUGUCUCUGAUUCAUUUUUUGGUUCCUAGAAUCGAAUCCUCGCUCUGUUCUUGCUUAAUUUCUCCUUUUUCUGUUGGGUCUUUCACUGCAGGUUUAGCUCUGCACGGGAACUGGCAAAUUUGGUGCUGGCCUCCAAUCUAAUCGACUGUGCUUUCACCAAAAUUCUUGAACUUAAGAGAGGCCAAACAGCCUUGCCUGUUCAAUACAGACUUUAUCAACUGUCUUCCAAGUGCACAAUUGUAGCUUUUGUCUCUUCACCUGACUGCACUCAAUACCCUCUUCCUGGACAAGGAGAUUUAGAUCGGUCUCCUCUCUUUGACUUCCUCCGUACCGAAGAAUACCCGUCCGUCUCCAUUAACAGAGCAGCAUUAGACCUCUUUACCCCUCUCCAUGAUCAUCUCUCUGGACUAACAGAUGAGGUCAAAAUCUGAUACUUGUUUGAAUUUUCGUUUCCUUUUCGUUAACAAUUGUGAGACACGAAACAGCUUGACCAUGAGAUCUCCCUCAUGGAGUCGAACUACCUGAAGGAUAAGACGUCACACAUAUCCAUUUUCAUGGCAUCGUCACAUGACCCAUUGAUCGGUUGUGAUUCAACUCUUAAUAGGAAUACAGUAGAACCGGUGUUGGUAUCUGUCUUUAGAUCAGCUUGCAUAUAUCUUGUCACUGAAAAAGGAAUGUUCAGAAGUGAGAUUAGUGGCAUUAUUCUGACAUGGAUUUCAUAUGGUUACUUGUUUUGCAGUUGACUCGGAUUGAAGGUCAAUUAAUCAUCACUGGGCACUCCCUGGGAGGAUCCGUUGCUUCUCUCUUCACCUUACGCCUGCUAGACGGCAAUUUAUUAAAGCCCAAAUGCCAUCCCUUUUGUAUCACCUUUGGUUCACCCCUCAUAGGCGACUUUGGCCUCCAAGACUCCAAAUGGAAUUCUUUCUUCCUGCAUGUAGUGUCUAACCAAGACCCAGUCCCCGGACUCUUCCUCCCAUCCGGCAGAUCUCCGCCCACAUCCUCCCAUUCACAAACUACCGGUUACAAGCCCUUUGGGACAUAUCUCUUGUGCUCUGAACUUGGUUGUGCUUGUUUUGACAACCCUGAUUUAAUUUUGAGAUUGCUGAAAGUCAUAUCAUCAGAGGUUGCCGGAGGAUUGCAGGAUGUUGAUUAUGGGGAGAUUUUAAGAAACCUCAAGGAGAGGGCAAUCUGCAAGGGACUGCCGCAGGUGGGUGAACGGUUUGCAGAUCCAUUUUCAGCUGGGAUCAUCAUGGAACUUGAGACAAUUGGAUUUAAUCAAACAAAGGUAAACAGCUUUCUCCCAUCUAAUGAUGUUAUGAAACAUGGUUUACACUUCACCAUAUACUGCAAUAACUGCCCUAUUCAGAUUUAUCUUCUUGUUCUUUGGGAUCUUCCAUAACUCGUCUCAUUUUUAAAAUUCAUGCCAGCUGCUGCAGCAUAACAUUGAUAUCGACGCUAUGAUAAGAACAAUGGAAGAGGAAACCAGAAGCCUAAUCCAGAAAAAUAAAGCUUCCGAUGCCAAGAAACUGAAUGACAUAAAAAGAGACAUGGCCCAUCUAGAAUGGUAUAAGAAGAAAUCGGAAAUGGGUUACUACGAUUGCUUCAAAAACCAGGGGUCUAAAAGGGACAUCCACGUUGAACAGUUUAGGGUAAACCUCACAAAAUACUGGAAAGACAUGGUUGCACAAGUACAGAGGAAGCCCCAGAAGGAAGGAGCAACAUUUCGAACCCGUUGGCUCUAUGCAGGGACAGUUUAUAGGAGAAUGGUUGAACCACUGGACAUUGCUGCCUUCUACGGAGAGGGUAAAACAGACUACAUAAACAAGAAAAGAUCUCUUCAUUACCAGCUGUUGCAGCAAUGGUAUGAGGAAGAUGUGAAACCCCCCUCUAGAGAUAAGCUUGAUUCCAAGAAGCAAAAGGUGUCUGGUAUCCUAACUGAGGAUUCUUUGUUUUGGGCAUAUGUGGAGGAGGCCAUCUUGUCAUGCGAAUUGCUCAAGAGUCAAAACUGUAC